UCUCUCUAUUCCCUAUUGGCCUCACUCCCUUUCUUAUACAGCCCAGACUUUAUCCUUAUUUCAAAUAUUAUCUCGAUGGUACCUAUAACCCUCCUGCCUCUCUGCACUUAAGUCUUACCUGGAAAACACCCAAACAUGAACUUGAUUUCUACUGUCACUCCAUCCAAGCAGAUGAAUCCUAAAAUAUGAAGCUGAUUUAUUUCAAAACAAAAGAAGUAACAUUAAAUUAAAAACUUCUUAUAAGUACCCCUGGAGGAAAAGGACUGAGGCACAGUGUCCAGAGCAAGACCAAAUCUACAGCCAUUAGUUUCCAUCCUGGAAACAAGGUUCAGACUGGACUCAGGAGUUCACAUAAACCCUAAAAGGAUGGGUUUGUUCUACUCAGGAAUUCUCAUGUUCUGAAGAACUGAAGAGUGGGGUCAAAUAAUCCCCUCUCACUUAAAAGCUAUUGGAAGGAAAAAAAAAUUAAGGAAAAGGAGAAUGGAAAAUUAUUAAUUGAAUGAGACAUAAAUGUUUUUUUUUUUCUUCUGGAGGAUUCAAAAGACUAAAUCACAAGUGAUAUAUGAGUAGAUAAAUAAAUUUAGACAGUGGGACAAGGGAGGGAUUUUUAAACAUUGAUAAAUCUGGAAUUUUUCCAUUUUUGAUUUUUUUAGAACUCUAAAAUUAUAAUUGAGCUAUCCUUUGUUAUUAUUCUUAUAGGAAAACUUUAUUCUUUAAAUUCUUUAUGAAGAAGAAAUGCUUAUUCAUCUUUAAUAGAAUUU
This is a long non-coding RNA of Panthera uncia (snow leopard), 761 nucleotides long. RefSeq lists it as uncharacterized. The record is from RefSeq and is a predicted model, not a curated record. Lineage: Eukaryota; Metazoa; Chordata; Mammalia; Carnivora; Felidae. The transcript is spliced from 3 exons.